GCCCAUCAGAAGGGGAUAACACUUGGAAACAGGUGCUAAUACCGUAUAACAAUCGAAACCGCAUGGUUUUGAUUUGAAAGGCGCUUUCGGGUGUCGCUGAUGGAUGGACCCGCGGUGCAUUAGCUAGUUGGUGAGGUAACGGCUCACCAAGGCCACGAUGCAUAGCCGACCUGAGAGGGUGAUCGGCCACAUUGGGACUGAGACACGGCCCAAACUCCUACGGGAGGCAGCAGUAGGGAAUCUUCGGCAAUGGACGAAAGUCUGACCGAGCAACGCCGCGUGAGUGAAGAAGGUUUUCGGAUCGUAAAACUCUGUUGUUAGAGAAGAACAAGGAUGAGAGUAACUGUUCAUCCCUUGACGGUAUCUAACCAGAAAGCCACGGCUAACUACGUGCCAGCAGCCGCGGUAAUACGUAGGUGGCAAGCGUUGUCCGGAUUUAUUGGGCGUAAAGCGAGCGCAGGCGGUUUCUUAAGUCUGAUGUGAAAGCCCCCGGCUCAACCGGGGAGGGUCAUUGGAAACUGGGAGACUUGAGUGCAGAAGAGGAGAGUGGAAUUCCAUGUGUAGCGGUGAAAUGCGUAGAUAUAUGGAGGAACACCAGUGGCGAAGGCGGCUCUCUGGUCUGUAACUGACGCUGAGGCUCGAAAGCGUGGGGAGCAAACAGGAUUAGAUACCCUGGUAGUCCACGCCGUAAACGAUGAGUGCUAAGUGUUGGAGGGUUUCCGCCCUUCAGUGCUGCAGCUAACGCAUUAAGCACUCCGCCUGGGGAGUACGACCGCAAGGUUGAAACUCAA
This 791-nucleotide ribosomal RNA is filed under the name Lacticaseibacillus casei. Its description in RNAcentral is "bacterial SSU rRNA". It matches the Rfam family "Bacterial small subunit ribosomal RNA", at positions 128 to 904 of the family's 1533-position model. Lineage: Bacteria; Bacillati; Bacillota; Bacilli; Lactobacillales; Lactobacillaceae. The record is from RNAcentral.